RNAcentral lists this ribosomal RNA (200 nucleotides) under uncultured bacterium. RNAcentral describes it as "partial 16S ribosomal RNA". It matches the Rfam family "Bacterial small subunit ribosomal RNA", at positions 8 to 206 of the family's 1533-position model. The record is from RNAcentral.
AGAGUUUGAUCCUGGCUCAGAAUCAACGCUGGCGGCGUGCCUAACACAUGCAAGUCGAACGCGAAGACCCCGCAAGGGGUUUGUAGCGUGGCAAACGGGUGAGUAACGCGUGGGUGACCUGCCUUCGAGUGGGGGAUAACGUUCCGAAAGGGACGCUAAUACCGCAUGACAUCCCGUCAUUGAAGAGACGGUGAUCAAAG